UCUUACUAUAACAGAUUCAUAACUGAAGGAUGAAGGAAGAAGUUCUGCUCGAGAUGGUAAAGCCCUAUUGGAGAUCAGCAGAAAAUAUAAAUGAAGGCAUAGACCAAGUGCAGACGACCGGGGAGUGGGUUUAUGGGGACUUUUGGGUCCAGAGAACACAUAUCCUAUCUAAAGUGGGUAGCUGCUACUCUUGCUCAUUUUUAGUGGAUUAAUUUUUUUCUAAAAAGGUCAUGCAUGCAGAUAUUCCUGUUAAAUCUUCAUCUGAAAAACAUGUUGCCGCAUCUAGACAUUGAGCAUCAAUGAUUAACACAACAAAAAGUGGGAUGAUGAAUGUAUCACUGCCCAUAAAGCAGUAUUGUAAUAAAAUUGGAAUAUGAA
RNAcentral lists this long non-coding RNA (378 nucleotides) under Homo sapiens (human). RNAcentral describes it as "HSALNT0133435". The record is from RNAcentral. Lineage: Eukaryota; Metazoa; Chordata; Mammalia; Primates; Hominidae.